GACGAACGCUGGCGGCGUGCUUAACACAUGCAAGUCGAACGGAAAGGCCCUGCUUUUGUGGGGUGCUCGAGUGGCGAACGGGUGAGUAACACGUGAGUAACCUGCCCUUGACUUUGGGAUAACUUCAGGAAACUGGGGCUAAUACCGGAUAGGAGCUCCUGCCGCAUGGUGGGGGUUGGAAAGUUUCGGCGGUUGGGGAUGGACUCGCGGCUUAUCAGCUUGUUGGUGGGGUAGUGGCUUACCAAGGCUUUGACGGGUAGCCGGCCUGAGAGGGUGACCGGCGACAUUGGGACUGAGAUACGGCCCAGACUCCUACGGGAGGCAGCAGUGGGGAAUAUUGCACAAUGGGCGGAAGCCUGAUGCAGCAACGCCGCGUGCGGGAUGACGGCCUUCGGGUUGUAAACCGCUUUCGCCUGUGACGAAGCGUGAGUGACGGUAAUGGGUAAAGAAGCACCGGCUAACUACGUG
This 468-nucleotide ribosomal RNA is filed under the name uncultured bacterium. RNAcentral's name for it is "partial 16S ribosomal RNA". It matches the Rfam family "Bacterial small subunit ribosomal RNA", at positions 28 to 507 of the family's 1533-position model. The record is from RNAcentral.